RNAcentral lists this non-coding RNA (30 nucleotides) under Rattus norvegicus (Norway rat). Lineage: Eukaryota; Metazoa; Chordata; Mammalia; Rodentia; Muridae. The record is from RNAcentral.
UNCAUGACGAUUGUAGAGGCAGCCAAGAGG